GACGUCUUACCUCAGUUGGUAGAGUACACGCGCUACUAAUGCGUGGGUGGCUACCAUGCGUGAGUUCCAGUCUCGCCGGGGUUA
Molecule: transfer RNA, 84 nt
Filed under: Fasciola hepatica (liver fluke)
Lineage: Eukaryota; Metazoa; Platyhelminthes; Trematoda; Plagiorchiida; Fasciolidae
Description: tRNA-Ser
Source: RNAcentral